RNAcentral lists this ribosomal RNA (518 nucleotides) under uncultured Symbiodinium. Its description in RNAcentral is "partial Bacterial small subunit ribosomal RNA". It matches the Rfam family "Bacterial small subunit ribosomal RNA", at positions 197 to 705 of the family's 1533-position model. Lineage: Eukaryota; Dinophyceae; Suessiales; Symbiodiniaceae. The record is from RNAcentral.
AAAUAAAAAAGAAAAUAUUUGCUAAAAGAUAUUUUUAUAUAGGAUUAGGUUGUUGGUGAGGUAAAAGCUCGACCAAGCCUUUUUUAUCCUUAGUUGGUUUGAGAGAUCAAUCAGCCACACUGGGACUGAGACACGGCCCAGACUUUAAUAAGGCAGCAGUGAGGAAUAUUGGACAAUGGGAGAAAUCCUGAUCCAGCAAUACUGAAAGGGUGAGCGCAGGAAUUUUAUUUUCUGGAAGGCUGUAAAAAAGAGGUUGUAAAACUCUUUCGUCGAGGAGGAAAAUGACAGUACUCGAAAAAGAAGUCCCGGCUAACUUCGUGCCAGCAGCCGCGGUAAUACGAAGGGGGCUAGCGUUGUUCGGAAUCACUGGGCGUAAAGCGCACGUAGGCGGAUUGGUCAGUUAGGGGUGAAAUCCCAGAGCUCAACUCUGGAACUGCCUUUAAUACUGCCAGUCUUGAGUCCGAGAGAGGUGAGUGGAACUCCGAGUGUAGAGGUGAAAUUCGUAGAUAUUGGAAAGA